Clupea harengus (Atlantic herring) is the source of this 1175-nucleotide long non-coding RNA. Lineage: Eukaryota; Metazoa; Chordata; Actinopteri; Clupeiformes; Clupeidae. The record is from Ensembl.
CACACACACACACACACACACACACUCACAUACGUGCGCACGCAUGCACACACCCUAUACACGCCUGGGCUCAAGACAGCUCAGUCACACAGGGUCCUGCUUACUACCGGAGUGGAGGGAGUAGUGAGUGUGUGUGUGUGUGUGUGUGUGCGCAGGGGGCAGGGGUGAAGAGAAAGGGUUGAGGUGUGAGUGUGUGUGAGGAGGGGGAGUGUUGAGAAAGGGUUGAGGUGUGUGUGUGUGUGUGUGUGUGAGGAGGUGGGCCUACAAUGACAAACCCUGGGCUUAGGCUGGGUUUAGUUGUGGAUGAAUGGGUUUUAAAGCAGACCCUUAGCGACGGGCACAGCAGACCCUUAGCGACAGGCGUAGCAGACCCUUAGCGACGGGCACAGCAGACCCUUAACGACGGGCGUGAGGAGAACCUGAGGGCAACACAGCGCCAACAAAAACUGAUGUGUUCAUUCUUAGACGUCCGAAGAUAACUAUUACUUGAGUUUUAGAAAUAUCAAUUUACAGUUCACUGCACAUUUAUAGAAUGUAAAAGUUUUUUUUUCUUUCAUUUCAAGUAAAAGUUUUAUACAAGAUUUAACCCUGGCAAAUACUUUGAGAGUGUCGAUCGUGGAUUUAGCGGUGUGGUGUUGGCAGUGUUAACGUACAUAGCAUUAGUCGUAUUUCUAAUGAUGGUGUUAGCGUGUCUAGUCUUAGCAGUAUUUCUGAUGAUGGUGUUAGCGUGUCUAGUUAUAGUGGUAUAUCUAAUGAUGGUGUCUAGUUAUAGUGGUAUAUCUAAUGAUGGUGUUAGCGUAUCUAGUUAUAGUGGUGUUAGCGUGUCUAGUUAUAGUGGUAUAUCUAAUGAUGCUGUUAGCGUGUCUAGCGUUAGCAGUAUUUCUGAUGAUGGUGUUAGCGUGUCUAGCUAUAGUGGUAUAUCUAAUGAUGGUGUCUAGUUAUAGUGGUAUAUCUAAUGAUGGUGUUAACGUGUCUAGUUAUAGUGGUAUAUCUAAUGAUGGUGUUAGUGUUUAGUGGUAUAUCUAAUGAUGCGGUUAGCGUGUCUAGCGUUAGCAGUAUAUCUAAUGAUGCUGUUAGCGUGUCUAGCGUUAGCAGUAUUUCUGAUGAUGCUGUUAGCGUGUCUAGCGUUAGCAGUAUUUCUGAUGAUGCUGUUAGCGUGUCUAGCGUUAGCAGUA